AGUGCCACGGGAUAGUCACUGCACGAGCACCCUGCCACGUGAGGGAGGGUGAGGAGAGAGUGCCAUGCUGUGGAUGGGCAGUGAGAGUGGAGCAAUGAUGGAGCGUUGCAGUGGGAGGGGUGCUGAGGGAAGCACCACGCUGCAUGAGUGGGCAACACUGCGGGAGGGGCAAUGAGGAGGGAGCGUGUGCCGAGGGAGGGGCAACGAGGAGGGAGCAUGUGCCAAGGGAGGGGCAAUGAGGGUGGAGUGUGCCGAGGGAGGGGCAAUGAGGAGGGAGCGCCAUGCUGAAGGAGGGGCAAUGAGAUUGGAGUGCUGUGCUGUCGGAGGAGGUUAAGGAGGAGCUCUGCAGUGGGAGGAGCGGAGGGGAGGGAACGCCGUGCUGCGUUACACGAGGACAGCAGACAGGCGGCAGCGUGCUGGAAUUACUACCAGAAACUCAGGGCGGUGCGCUGACCCUGAACCUGGACUCAGCAGGAAGUUUUGAAAGGGGAAGGAGGCUUGCAGAGCGGCAGGGAGGGGCUGGUGGGGCGGAGGUGCUAGGGUAACAGAGAUGAAGCACACAGCCCCUGGCAGGGCGGGCGGGCAUGCGUGUGUGUGUCUGUCUGUCUGUCUCUGUGUGUGAGAGUGAGUGAGUGUGUGUGUGUGUGUGUGUGUGUGUGUGUGUGUGUGUGUGUGUGUGCGUCUGUCUAUCUCUGUGUGUGAGAGUGAGUGUGUGUGUGUGUGUCUGUCUGUCUCUGUGUGUGAGAGUGAGUGAGUGUGUGUGUGUGUGUCUGUCUGGGUGUGUGAAUGUGUGUGUGUGUGUGCGUGUGUGUCUGUCUGGGUGUGUGAGAGUGAGUGAGUGUGUGUGCGUGUGUGUCUGUCUGUCUCUGUGUGUGAGAGUGUGUGUGCGUGUGUGCGUGCGUGCGUGCGUAUCUAUGCGUGUGUGUGCGCCUGUGCGUGUGUGUGCGUGUGUCUGUCUGUCUCUGUGUGUGAGAGUGUGUGUGUGUGUGCGUGCGUAUCUGUGCGUGUGUGCGCCUGUGUGUGUGUGUGCGUGUGUCUGUCUGUCUGUCUCUGUGUGUGAGAGUGUGUGUGUGUGUGCGUGCGUAUCUGUGCGUGUGUGCGCCUGUGUGUGUGUGUGCGUGUGUCUGUCUGUCUGUCUCUGUGUGUGAGAGUGUGUGUGUGUGUGUGUGUGUGUGUGCGCGUGCAUGCGUGUGUCUGUGCGUGAGAGUGUGUUUAUAUAUAACAGGAGGAAGGUGAGGGGUCUGGUUCAAAGUGCUACCACAGGCAUGACUAAUUCCCCCUCCACUCAGUAACCGAGUUGCUCUUUGGACUCCUGGCCCCAGCAGGUUCCUUCACCAGCCUGGGUGAGGUCAGUUCCUGUGUUGCUAUCGAGACUAUCAUCCCCUCUGUCCGCAGGCAAGAGUUCCGCUUUCUCAGUCUCAGAACUGCUGCAACUAUAAAUAAGGCUUGCGUCAGGCAGGGCGGCCUGUGUGAGAGCAGCGGGGGGAAGGGAGGCAGAGAAACGGCUCCUGGUCUCUGCUGGAGAGGGGGAAGCGCGAGGGCUUGGUGGAACGCGAGCGAAGUCAGACGCCGUGGAAGACGGUCAGGACAAGAAUGGACUCAGCUUCUGGAGAGGGAUCGAAGAUCAGCACUUGUACAAACGUCACUUGGCACAGAACUGCCCGAGUUGUGGGUCGAACAGACUGGUGCCUGGCAGCCGGAACCCAUGCCAACCCCACAGCGCAGCACAACUCCCAGAGAGCGAAUAUGGCAGAGUCACCACAGCCUCAUUGCAGACGGUGAUCAGCACGGCAAUUUGAGGAUCUGGAGAGCUUUGGGAUCUGAGAACUCAGGCAUCCUCUCCCGCCAUUUGCUAUUUUCAAAUAUCGGUGUUGUGAAUGUCCGUGCCCUUGGGAUUGACUAGUUGUCCGCUUACCAAUGGCUCUGACUGACGGCUCCUUUCGUUUCCUGUUCUCACUAACCCCUGACUUACACAUUGAGCUGCUUUGUAUUUCUUCUUUCGACAGUACACACACACACACACACACACAGACAGAGGAACCGUUUGAUCUGUCUGCCUUACGGAACUCUGAAGGCUGUCGGGAGUGCUUGUAUAAAAUCAUCAGGGGCAAAGAUAAUGUGGAUGGUCACAGCCUUUUUCCUCAGUGCAAGUCAGAUCAGCAGCUACAGGAAACGUUUGGUGCAGGUCAUUACCGCUCAAGGAGGUUUGACCAGUUAUCGAAUACAAGGGUUCAUGUGUUUUUUCCAGCCUGGACAGUGAAUGAUUGAACAACAUGUUCAAUAAAGACAUGAAAAGUACAAUUAGCUUAGGCAGAUUGUGUUUGUCUACUAUAGUCACUUAGAUGAAGAUCAGAAUACAUUUAAUGAGUAAUUAAUGCAGAAAACCAGGUUGCAAAGGGUUCAUGUACUGUUUCUUGCAACUGUAAGCUCUUUACAGAGCGGUGCAGAUGUGAAAUACCCUGGUAGAGGCAGACAUACUAGGGACAUUUAAGAAACUCUUAAGACAGCAGAUGGAGGAUGGAAAUAAAGAAGGGCCAUAUGGGAGGGAAGUGUUAGAUCCUAGAGUAGGUUAAAAGGUCAGCACAACAUCAUGGGCCGAAGGGCCUGUAUACUUUAUGUACACCCACCAGCUCCCCCCAACCCCUAUCAACCCUGCUUGAUGCCUAAAAAUAACUCAGUGGUUGAAUGCAUUUUCUCCCUGUCACAACAAUUCUGCCUCAGGAUGUUCCAAGCACUCUGUAAAUGACGAAUCCUGCCCAAGCAUUUUACCCAGAACUGACGUCAGGCUGACUGAGUUUCAGAGUUCCCCUACACUCCUCACCUCUCCUGUUACAUACGCUCCUGUCUAGACAACAGGGACAGUUUCACAACCCAGAGAAUUAUUGAAGAACAAUGUUCUUAAAACUGCGAUGGGAGGUAUCAGGAACAGGGCAUUUGUUCCUGUUUUACCCCUUUGCACCUUUGUAGUCAGUUGUAACAAUAAUUUCUACAUCGGCUGUAACUCCUUUCCCAGUAAUUGGACAGGAAGUGACUUAGACGUUCAGAUCUGUCAGAUUUUGCCAGAACUGUUUCUGCCCAAGCCACAUUUAUUUCUGCUUCUCCCUUGUGGUUAUUUUUAGUGACUGUCUUUGCCAUUGAACUUUACUUAGCUAAUCAAGGAUUAUCCCUCACUGCCCCAUGCAUUUUCUAAUUUUCCCUUGCCAAUACCACAUGCUCUUCACCAACCAGGGCAGUGCCCACCCUCUCAACAUCUGGGCUGUCCACCAGCAAUGCUCGCACACAUCUGGGGAGCAAAUGAACAAAGUCUGUCCUCUCAACAUCUGGUCUGCAGACCAAGCAAGGCCCACCCUCAACAUCUGGGCUGACAACAGCUGUGUUGUGAGGACACCAACUUCUAACAAUGGUCACAGGCCGUCAAUGGGGUAACAGGGCAGAGUUCGUGUGUUUAGAAAGCCAACUCUGCAAUCCCCAAGUUUGAAUCCCGUCAGAGAUUAUGGAGAAACUUCAAAUAGAUCUCACCCUCCCAGACUCAGGACCCAAACACUCCAUCCCCAUGGCUUCUCAGACCACUGCCUUCCCUCUGUCCCUUAUCUGCUCUCUCCCUGCCCCCUCACUCUGCCAGUCCUCUUUCCCUCCCUCUGCCCCUUCAUGCCCUCAGUCUCCCUCCUCCCUCUCUUCUCCCCUGCUCUUCCCUCAUUCCCCUGACCCUCCCUCCUCCCCAUCUUUUUGCUUCUCCCUCAAUUGCCAGACCCCUCUCUCCCCUCACUUCCUGGAUCCUCUUUCCCUCACUCCUCUGCCCCUCUCUCUCCUCACCCAAGCCUCCCUCAUUCCCCUGCCCCCUCUCUCUCUCCUGUCACGCU
Long non-coding RNA from Hypanus sabinus (Atlantic stingray), 3860 nucleotides. RefSeq lists it as uncharacterized. The record is from RefSeq and is a predicted model, not a curated record. The transcript is spliced from 4 exons. NCBI's taxonomy places the organism in Eukaryota, Metazoa, Chordata, Chondrichthyes, Myliobatiformes, Dasyatidae.